This 74-nucleotide transfer RNA is filed under the name Gossypium harknessii. RNAcentral's name for it is "tRNA-Asp". The record is from RNAcentral. Lineage: Eukaryota; Viridiplantae; Streptophyta; Magnoliopsida; Malvales; Malvaceae.
GCUCAUAAACCUUUUCUUUCAUUCAUCAAUAGGGCCCUGGUCGGUCACUUUCCGGGUCGGGAUCGAUAAGUAGA